This 523-nucleotide long non-coding RNA is filed under the name Astyanax mexicanus (Mexican tetra). Its description in RNAcentral is "lncRNA (ENSAMXG00005002508.1)". Lineage: Eukaryota; Metazoa; Chordata; Actinopteri; Characiformes; Acestrorhamphidae. The record is from RNAcentral.
CAGAACAGCUGCCAACAUGAAGCUUCUGGUGUGUGCCCUCGUACUGGUGCUGGUGUGCAGUGAGACUGUGCAUUCCCUCAAGUGUUUCACUUGUGUGAACGGGAACUGUAAGACUGCUACAGAAUGCCCAGAAUCAAGCAACUUCUGCAAAACCGUGGUGGGAUGUGAGUACUCUGCUGACUUUUAUACUCUAAAAAAUCAGGAAGAAAGAUGUACAGACAGUGAAAGCUGUUCUGCACUCACUAUAUUCACUAUAUUAUGUUUUAUUUUUUUUCUUUAGACGACUCCCUCAGUCGGACCUGUGAGGAGUUCUGUGUGCCUGGAGUUAAUAUCUACUGCUGCCAGGAGGAUCUGUGUGGCUGAGACCCAGCUAACCUCUGCAAUACUGCUGAAUCAUGAGCUUAAUCAAAGAGUUAUAAUAAUAAUAACCAUAUAAAAAUGACCAUAAUCCUCCUAAUUAACUGUAUCCAAUGAUUCCUAAUGCUUGAAUAAAAGCCUGCAGCAUCUAUUUUCUUCUUUUAGA